This 1550-nucleotide long non-coding RNA is filed under the name Podarcis lilfordi (Lilford's wall lizard). Lineage: Eukaryota; Metazoa; Chordata; Lepidosauria; Squamata; Lacertidae. The record is from RNAcentral.
UGGGAGGGCGUUCCACAGGGCGGGUGCCACCACCGACAAGGCCCUCUGCCUGGUGGCCUUCACACUCACAGCCGGGCGAUGUUCCUCCGGCCUCAUGAGGAGCCUCUUCAGUGGGGCUGGUGAGUGUGGGCCUUGCCCCAUGGCCAGGUGGAAAGAGCCUUGCAAGGAGUGGCCUUAUUGCCCCACAGUCAGGCAAUGUUACUCCGGCCUCAUGAGGAGCCUCUUCAGUGGGGCUGGUGAGUGUGGGCCUUGCCCCAUGGCCAGGUGGAAAGGGCCUUGCAGGGAGUGGCCUUAUUGCCCCACAGUCAGGCAAUGUUCCUCCGGCCUCAUGAGGAGCCUCUUCAGUGGGGCUGGUGAGUGUGGGCCCAGCCCCCUAGGCCAAGUGGAAAGGGCCUUGCAGGGAGUGGCCUUAUUGCCCCACAGUCAGGCAAUGUUACUCCGGACUCAUGAGGAGCCUCUUCAGUGGGGCUGGUGAGUGUGGGCCUUGCCCCAUGGCCAGGUGGAAAGGGCCUUGCAAGGAGUGGCCUUAUUGCCCCACAGUCAGGCAAUGUUCCUCCGGACUCAUGAGGAGCCUCUUCAUAGAUAUUUAUUAAAGUUUUUAAGGUAUAACAAAGAAAUGAAAAAAUAAAAAGAAACAUACAAAAUAAAAACAGUUAAAAACACAUUAAUUUUCCAUAGCAUAUCUUCCUUACACUCAUUUCCCCGGACCUCCUCGUACCUCCCUUUUUUGUAUUCCAGUUCAGUUUGUUAGUUCAGCAAAUCCUUACCAUUAAGCUUUUACCCAUUUGUAAACCUUUUUUCAUAUCUCUUAAAGCAUUACAGCUGGAAACCACUUAGUUUCUAUCCAACAUCCUUCUAAGAUUCAUUAAUUUUACAAUAUUUCUGUAAAUAGUCUUUAAAUUUCUUCCAAUCUUCUUCCACCGACUCUUCUCCCUGGUUUCGGAUUCUGCCAGUCAUUUCUGCCAAUUCCAUGUAGUCCAUCACCUUCAUCUGCCAUUCUUCCAGAGAGGGUAGAUCUUGUGUCUUCCAAUACUUUGCAAUGAGUAUUCUUGCUGCUGUUGUAGCAUACAUAAAAAAAGUUCUGUCCUUCUUUGGCACCAAUUCAUGAGGAGCUUCUUCAGUGGGGCUGGUGAGUGUGGGCCUUGCCCCAUGGCCAGGGGGAAAGGGCCUUGCAAGGAGUGGCCUUAUUGCCCCACAGUCAGGCAAUGUUACUCCGGCCUCAUGAGGAGCCUCUUCAGUGGGGCUGGUGAGUGUGGGCCUUGCCCCAUGGCCAGGUGGAAAGAGCCUUGCAAGGAGUGGCCUUAUUGCCCCACAGUCAGGCAAUGUUACUCCGGCCUCAUGAGGAGCCUCUUCAGUGGGGCUGGUGAGUGUGGGCCUUGCCCCAUGGCCAGGGGGAAAGGGCCUUGCAGGGAGUGGCCUUAUUGCCCCACAGUCAGGCAAUGUUCCUCCGGCCUCAUGAGGAGCCUCUUCAGUGGGGCUGGUGAGUGUGGGCCCAGCCCCCAUGGCCAGGGGGAAAGGGCCUUGCAGGGAGCGGCCUUAUUGCCCCACAG